CGGAGCCGUCUCCAGACGCAGGCCGCGGGGCAGCAGGCGCUGCCCCGACCCUCCGAGGUAUUUUUAUUAUUUAUUUUGGUCGCCGCUGGGCGAGAGAAGGGUCGGGCGGGAAAGGAGGAAAAACAGCCCCCAGAAGGAGGGGGAAAGGGGAAAAGGAGGGGAGCAGCGGCGAGCCCCCCUCCGCCGGCCCCACUCACCGCUUGAAAUGCUCGAUGAUCUUCUCCUCGCGCACGUUCUCCGGAUCAGGCCUCUCCUGUCGACGCAGAUCAGUCAGGAUUGACACUCCUCCACCACCACCACAGGCAUCCGCUUCAGUGAGUUCAACGGAGCAAGCGACACUCCACACCGCCUCCCAGCACAGCCUCUACCUUCGAAGGACAAAGCGCUGAAGCGCCUGUGCCAAGAAAUGAAAUUAUGCUUCCAGGGAAUUUAGCGAAGCACCUGCAAGGGACACAAGGAAACCACAGACUCCCAGGUCCUUCAAAGAAACCUCACGCAGGGUCACUGCUGUCACACUGUAAUCUCACAAGCCGGCUGGCUGGGAGGGAUGUCCACAGAUUGGAAGCCGUUGCAAACAAAACCAUUGACUCCGCUGACAUAAACGAUGGAAAUUACUGCUUAAAAGGUUCCGUUUACACGGACGCCAGCUGGAAAAGGAGCACACAAACUGCCGUCCGUGAUACAAAAACCAGGCUCUGCACCAUCCCAAUGCUUUUAACAUGCUUUGGGGGGAAACUGUUCCCAGUUGCAGCAUGCGACCGCACUCAGGCAGUGCCAUUGUAACCGGAUCCUUCCACCUCAUUUGAAGAUUUUAAAAAACACAGACCCACGCUAGAGACCGAAGAGAGCACAACCUUCAUCUCAGCAGGCCCAAAGCGUUUCAGUAAAGGACUGGUCCUGCAUGGCAGUGGCAAACAUCAUUCUUGUCACCACACAAGGAACCACGCAUUCAGGCCGCCCAUGCCAGCCACUAUCCUGCCCCAGCAGCAAGCUUCAGGGGUCGGGACACAAAUUUCCACUUGCCGAGGGGUAAAUAGCCAAGGAGCAGGAGACUUCACCUGCCUUACAUCACCCACUGCCUCUUGCCCUUCAGAGGAAAAUACAGCACAGUCCAGUGCACUGCAAGGCACAAUUUAAACUACUCAUACGCACGCUGGGUGUAGCUGGGAACCCAGCUAUCUCCAGGCAUCACGACCAACCGCUCAGUUAAAACAACUGCACGUUUCUUAUCAGCACUUGGAAAGGAUUAAAAUACCAGGCCCUAUAUUAAUGGGGGAGCAGGUGAUAAACCCACCUCAGCUUGAACACUGUGUUCACAUCAAGAAAAGCAAAGCAAGAACAGGAAAGAUCAAAAGCAAGCCAUUAAAGGCGUGAGAAAAUGGUGCUGCCAUAUAAGGAGCUAAUAAAGUUAGCAGCUCUCCAGUUUGGAGAAAAAAAGGGCAGGAGAAUCGGAAAACAUCCUCAGGGUCAACACAAAUAGCAAAGGGAACAGCCUGAGACAGCCUCCCAUCUAGGAGGAAAGUCGAAUAAAUAGGAGGGCACGUUACAGAGUGAGCACAACACGUGAACAGGCAAGUUUGUACAUUUUUUACACAGCAUAAAUCCAAGUAAACUCAAGUUACCAAGUGGUGGAGCUCACUGCCACGCGUCGCAGAGACUGCUUGCCAAACAUUUAAAAAAGAGAAGAUUAGAUACCGAACAAGGACAGCAACCAGAGCUGUAUUUGCCAAGACUGUAACUUCCUAUACUUGGUUCUGGCUUAGCAAUUGCUCUGCAUUUUGAGCUCGCAGCAACGCAGCUGGAAAUGGGGAAAGGAGGCCUUUCUCCACAGCUAGAGACAUUGGCCAAGCACCAGAGACUCAAACGGAUCUGAUAGAAGAGCAGUCACAUUAAUAGCACGCAAUAAUUAUCCCCACCAGUGUCCAGGAAGCAUCCAGCUUUCUCUGCUUUUCACAGAAAAACAGUAUGUUGCCCAGACAAGAGCCCUCAAACAUCACCAGAAACACUCAGAGCUUUUCUUUUUUUGAGCCUCCCAGCUCCAUCCACCAUCUUGCGAAUAUAAAAUCCAUUUAUGGGCC
Rhea pennata is the source of this 2078-nucleotide long non-coding RNA. RefSeq lists it as uncharacterized. The record is from RefSeq and is a predicted model, not a curated record. NCBI's taxonomy places the organism in Eukaryota, Metazoa, Chordata, Aves, Rheiformes, Rheidae. The transcript is spliced from 3 exons.